UCUCGGCAACGGAUAUCUCGGCUCUCGCAUCCAUCGAGUCUUUGAACGCAGUUGCGCCCGAGGCCAUUCGGUAGAGGGCACGCCUGCCUGGGCGUCACGCAAAACACGCUC
Molecule: ribosomal RNA, 111 nt
Filed under: Calamagrostis canadensis
Lineage: Eukaryota; Viridiplantae; Streptophyta; Magnoliopsida; Poales; Poaceae
Description: 5.8S ribosomal RNA
Source: RNAcentral